This 66-nucleotide transfer RNA is filed under the name Spermophilus xanthoprymnus (Asia Minor ground squirrel). RNAcentral's name for it is "transfer RNA-Thr". The record is from RNAcentral. Lineage: Eukaryota; Metazoa; Chordata; Mammalia; Rodentia; Sciuridae.
GCCCUAAUAGUAUAAACAUUACUUUGGUUUUGUAAACCAAAAAUGAAGUAAAAACUUCUUAGAGCA